This 341-nucleotide long non-coding RNA is filed under the name Mytilus galloprovincialis (Mediterranean mussel). Lineage: Eukaryota; Metazoa; Mollusca; Bivalvia; Mytilida; Mytilidae. The record is from RNAcentral.
CGCCGUUUUAAUGUAAUUUUAUCCUAAUUUGAAGCACACAGGUAAAGUAAUAACCUCCAGUUUGUAAGUUUUCAUUUGUAUGACGUCACGUUUAGCCAUGACGUCUUUGUGCCAAAAUCAUUCAUGAAGUUUCGCGGAUUUUUUUUAUUUGACAAAUUUAGACAUUUUUUCAAGUUUUAUCGUAUUUUUUCUUUUUGUAAUGCAUUAGAAUCGGAAUAACAGUACUGUAGUUGAAGAGUUGCCACCGUCAAUUUUGAUUUGACGGUCGCAAAUCUCCGUAUUACUGUCUCCGCUACGCGUCGCCAAUAAAACUGCAUUUGCGACCGUCAAAUCUACAAUUG